AUGCGAGCGUUWUCCGGGAUUUAUUGGGUUUAAAGGGUGCGUAGGCGGACGAAUAAGUCAGUGGUGAAAACCUGCAGCUUAACUGUAGACUGCCGUUGAUACUGUUUGUCUUGAGUAUGGUCGAGGUAGGCGGAAUGUGUAAUGUAGCGGUGAAAUGCUUAGAUAUUACACAGAACACCGAUUGCGAAGGCAGCUUGCUGGGGCCAUUACUGACGCUGAUGCACGAAAGCGUGGGGAUCGAACAGGAUUAGAUACCCUGGUAGUCCACGCCGUAAACGAUGAUCACUCGCUGUUAGCGAUACACAGUUAGCGGCUAAGCAAAAGCAUUAAGUGAUCCACCUGGGGAGUACGGCCGCAAGGCUGAAACUCAAAGGAAUUGACGGGGGCCCGCACAAGCGGAGGAACAUGUGGUUUAAUUCGAUGAUACGCGAGGAACCUUACCUGGGCUUAAAUGUAGAGUGCAUUCGGCUGAAAGGCUGAUUUUCUUCGGAACUCUUUGCAAGGUGCUGCAUGGUUGUCGUCAGCUCGUGCCGUGAGGUGUCGGGUUAAGUCCCAUAACGAGCGCAACCCUUAUCGUUAGUUGCCAGCGGGUAAUGCCGGGAACUCUAACGAAACUGCCGGUGUAAACCGUGAGGAAGGUGGGGAUGACGUCAGAUCAGCACGGCCCUUAUGUCCAGGGCUACACACGUGUUACAAUGGCCGGUACAGAGGGCAGCUACCUGGAGACAGGAUGCGAAUCUCGAAAGCCGGUCUCAGUUCGGAUCGGAGUCUGCAACUCGACUCCGUGAAGCUGGAUUCGCUAGUAAUCGCGCAUCAGCCAUGGCGCGGUGAAUACGUUCCCGGGCCUUGUACACACCGCCCGUCAAGCCAUGGAAGUUGGGGGUACCUGAAGUCCGUAACCGCAAGGAGCGGCCUAGGGUAAAACCAGUGACUGGGGCUAAGUCGUAACAAGGUAGCCGUA
Molecule: ribosomal RNA, 961 nt
Filed under: uncultured Bacteroidota bacterium
Lineage: Bacteria; Pseudomonadati; Bacteroidota
Description: bacterial SSU rRNA
Rfam family: Bacterial small subunit ribosomal RNA
Source: RNAcentral